Molecule: long non-coding RNA, 1982 nt
Organism: Pygocentrus nattereri (red-bellied piranha)
Lineage: Eukaryota; Metazoa; Chordata; Actinopteri; Characiformes; Serrasalmidae
Exons: 5
Source: RefSeq, a predicted model, not a curated record
CACACAAACCCCCCGAAGAAGCCACUGGGGCCAAACAGAGCCAGAGGAGAGAGAGAGAUCAAAGCGCAGUGAGCGUUUUACCGAGCGCUGGGAGAAGCCGUUAUGGGACAAGGGGAUAGUUAUCCAGGCGCAGAUUAAGCCAAGCUGUAAGAAGAGCUGCUAGCCUUGCAGUGAAAUCACAGCACCCCCUUCAGGAGACCAGUGCUGCAAAACACCUGCUUUCUGACAGAAAGUGAAACUCAAACUUCAAAAAACUGCACUAUAUCAGUCCCAAAAAGGACCAAGCCUCCAGCUACCCACCCACCCCUCUGCGCUGGUGGGGGGGUGAAAUGGACGCUUGGCAUGGCGGGCAAGAUCUCCAUGGUUACUGAGCCUUAGGUUUGAGUGGCACAUGGGCGGAGAGGGUGUCUGGACUGGCUGUGGAGGAAGCGGUGAUGCCAGCUGGGCGGGUUCAGGCUGGCACAGAGCCCAGAACAGGAGAGGAGAGAUUGUUACAGAUGCAGUCUAAGUUCUAGUUCUAAUGGUGGAAGAGCCUCUCAGUCCUCUGAUGUGAAUUUGCCUCUGCCUGGCUCCAUUCUGCCUUACACUCUGAACCUAUUUCCCAUGUCAGAGGCUUGUAAGCUCUUACCCCUUCUCUCUCUCUCUCUCUCUCACCCUUUUUUAAUCUAAUUUAAUCUUGUACUGUUACUAUUCGUAAUUUCACUUAUUGUUGCAUUGAGAAUUUGUCUUCAUACACAUCACAUAAGAUUAGUGCAAACAGAUAAUGAGUUAUUGGUUACUGUUAUGAACAUGACAUUAAUAUUAAUGUUCCGCCUGAAAUAUUUUCUGCAUCUAACACUGGUAUUACAUGUCUACAAUGAUAAAUACAAACUGAGAUCUUCAUAAAUUUGAACUAAGGUAGGAUUUAUUGUGAUUGUGUGGUUAGUGUUUCAGAAGCGAGCGUUGUCAAGACUUCCAGACAUACAUGAGGAGGUAAAGUGGCUUGGAGAGCUGAGCCGCCUCUGUUUGAUACACAUUUGGUUAAAAUGGACAGUGUUGAUGAGUUUGAAAGGGAAGAGUGUAGACUUCAGGACAGGAAUGCAAGAGAGGUUCGGGUAGGAGUGCAUUUUUAAGUAUUGACAAAGAAUAUGUAGAGAGGAGAGCUCUCUUAAAGGCUAGAGGGGGCUCCCAGGCGAGUCCAAAAUGAGUGGAUUAAUAUGGAGCAUUUGAGCAAAAGCAUAGUUUGUAAAUGAUUAAACAUUUUUAUAUAAAAGAAUACAUUUAUUUCCUGAAGACAGAACAGCACAUUUGAACUCAAGCAAAGCAAGCAAGCUGCUUUAUUCCAUUAAUGAGCUGAUCAGCUCACCGGCAGCCCUCAGUAGCUGUAAUGCUAGUGUUCCGCUUAAAAUCUGUAGCAGAAAAAAGGAAAUACACAAGUAAGCUUUUGCUUUUUCAGUGAAAUAUGUAGCUCUACUUUCCAAAAUUCAAAGAAGGUGCUGGUGGUUGGAAACCAUUUGAACUUUUUAGCAGUUCAUUCAGCCCCAUUCCUUAAGGACUCGAUUGGGGGCACCCCUGGCAUGUUACAGUCAUGUUUUUAAUAUAACUGCAGAAAUAGGAAGUGGCCAGGCUCCCCUUAAAUUGGCUCAUGUAUCGACUACUUUUAUUGUUCUAAGGCUCUUAACUAACAACCUCAUGGGCAGCUUCAACAUGAAGGGAAAGGGGAAAAAGAAAAAGAAGGCCCUUGAAGACACACACCUGUAUUCUGUAGUUAAGCGUUUUCAUAUAUCCUGAAAAUAAGUUUUAUUAAUUGGUGGGAGUUUCAACUUUGAAUGUUUUAUUAUGAUUCAUAAGUACAAAAUGGGACAAAAGUGUCACUGAAGCGGAGAUCCGGAUUGCAGCAUCUGACCACUUGAAACACGCACCUGGAAGAAUGGGGGGGGUGUGGGCUGCCAUCAUUAACCCCUUUAAGCACGGACUUAUUUAGUAUUUUAUUUUGAAAGCAG